Molecule: ribosomal RNA, 253 nt
Filed under: uncultured bacterium
Lineage: Bacteria
Description: partial 16S ribosomal RNA
Rfam family: Bacterial small subunit ribosomal RNA
Source: RNAcentral
UACGGAGGGUGCGAGCGUUGUCCGGAAUCAUUGGGCGUAAAGGGCGCGUAGGUGGCCCGGUCAGCGUGCGGUGAAAGCUCGGGGCUCAACCCCGAGUCGGCCGUGCGAACUGCUGGGCUUGAGCACUGUAGAGGCAGGCGGAAUUCCGGGUGUAGCGGUGGAAUGCGUAGAGAUCAGGAAGAACACCGGUGGCGAAAGCGCUCUGCUAGGCCGCAACUGACACUGAGGGACGAAAGCUAGGGGAGCGAAUGGG